RNAcentral lists this ribosomal RNA (465 nucleotides) under uncultured bacterium. RNAcentral describes it as "bacterial SSU rRNA". It matches the Rfam family "Bacterial small subunit ribosomal RNA", at positions 330 to 792 of the family's 1533-position model. The record is from RNAcentral.
UCCAGACUCCUACGGGAGGCAGCAGUGAGGAAUAUUGGUCAAUGGGCGGGAGCCUGAACCAGCCAAGCCGCGUGAGGGAAGAAGGUACAGCGUAUCGUAAACCUCUUUUGUCAGGGAACAAAGGCGGGGACUAGUCCCCGGACGAGGGUACCUGAAGAAAAAGCAUCGGCUAACUCCGUGCCAGCAGCCGCGGUAAUACGGAGGGUGCAAGCGUUGUCCGGAAUCAUUGGGCGUAAAGAGUUCGUAGGCGGUAUGUUAAGUCUGGUGUUAAAUGCAGAAGCUCAACGUCUGUUCGGCACUGGAUACUGGCAAACUAGAAUGCGGUAGAGGUAAAGGGAAUUCCUGGUGUAGCGGUGAAAUGCUUAGAUAUCAGGAGGAACAUCGGUGGCGUAAGCGCUUUACUGGGCCGUAAUUGACGCUGAGGAACGAAAGCCAGGGUAGCAAAUGGGAUUAGAUACCCCCGUA